GGCAUGCACAAAGAUGAGUCUUCGUCUGUGCUCACUCUUUCCUGAGAGAGGAGGGGACAUAACAAGAGAGAAAAGAUGCAGAAAAAGAGAAGAGAGACCAGAGAGUAAAUACAAAGGAAAGAAUGAACCUCCGGCAGAGAGGAACUGGAAACAGUCAGAGAAGAUGGAAGAAAGAAGUGAAGAAAGAGAGAGAGAGAGAAAAUACCCCAGGUGAAAGACAACUUUUAGGUCUUCCUGUCGAAGAUCAGGAGCUUGCACUCACUUCCAAGAAGACAACAGGAGCCACUAGGUCAGGUCAGAAAGCUUUA
Malaclemys terrapin pileata is the source of this 308-nucleotide long non-coding RNA. RefSeq lists it as uncharacterized. The transcript is spliced from 3 exons. The record is from RefSeq and is a predicted model, not a curated record. Lineage: Eukaryota; Metazoa; Chordata; Testudines; Emydidae.